AUUGCUGGGGGCGCCCACUAUAUGGCUGAGAACGCAAUAGCGUGACCCCUAUUACUUGAUCCGGAUAAUACCGGCGGAAGGAGGCAUUCAU
This 91-nucleotide non-coding RNA is filed under the name bovine gut metagenome. RNAcentral describes it as "TPP riboswitch (THI element)". It matches the Rfam family "TPP riboswitch aptamer (THI element)", at positions 7 to 92 of the family's 105-position model. From Rfam's summary of the family: Vitamin B(1) in its active form thiamin pyrophosphate (TPP) is an essential coenzyme that is synthesised by coupling of pyrimidine and thiazole moieties in bacteria. The previously detected thiamin-regulatory element, thi box was extended, resulting in a new, highly conserved RNA secondary structure, the THI element, which is widely distributed in eubacteria and also occurs in some archaea. The record is from RNAcentral.